Molecule: ribosomal RNA, 500 nt
Filed under: uncultured bacterium
Lineage: Bacteria
Description: partial 16S ribosomal RNA
Rfam family: Bacterial small subunit ribosomal RNA
Source: RNAcentral
AUUGAACGCUGGCGGAAUGCUUUACACAUGCAAGUCGAACGGCAGCACGGACUUCGGUCUGGUGGCGAGUGGCGAACGGGUGUGUAAUACAUCGGAACGUGCCCAGUCGUGGGGGAUAACGUAGCGAAAGCUACGCUAAUACCGCAUACGAUCUAAGGAUGAAAGCGGGGGAUCGCAAGACCUCGCGCGAUUGGAGCGGCCGAUGGCAGAUUAGGUAGUUGGUGGGGUAAAGGCUCACCAAGCCGACGAUCUGUAGCUGGUCUGAGAGGACGACCAGCCACGCUGGGACUGAGACACGGCCCAGACUCCUACGGGAGGCAGCAGUGGGGAAUUUUGGACAAUGGGCGCAAGCCCGAUCCAGCCAUUCCGCGUGCAGGAUGAAGGCCCUCGGGUUGUAAACUGCUUUUGUACGGAACGAAAAGGCUCUGGUUAAUACCCGGGGCUCAUGACGGUACCGUAAGAAUAAGCACCGGCUAACUACGUGCCAGCCGCCGCCGUAA